This 85-nucleotide transfer RNA is filed under the name Felis catus (domestic cat). It matches the Rfam family "tRNA". Rfam says of the family: Transfer RNA (tRNA) molecules are approximately 80 nucleotides in length. Their secondary structure includes four short double-helical elements and three loops (D, anti-codon, and T loops). Lineage: Eukaryota; Metazoa; Chordata; Mammalia; Carnivora; Felidae. RNAcentral also lists the same sequence under 1 other name. The record is from Rfam by way of RNAcentral.
ACAUGGAUGGCUCAGUCGGUUGAGUGUCUGACUUUGGCUCAGGUCAUGAUCUAAUGGUUUGUGGGUUCAAGCCCCACUUCAGGCU